This 465-nucleotide ribosomal RNA is filed under the name Vreelandella stevensii. RNAcentral describes it as "partial 16S ribosomal RNA". It matches the Rfam family "Bacterial small subunit ribosomal RNA", at positions 338 to 795 of the family's 1533-position model. Lineage: Bacteria; Pseudomonadati; Pseudomonadota; Gammaproteobacteria; Oceanospirillales; Halomonadaceae. The record is from RNAcentral.
CCUACGGGGGGCUGCAGUGGGGAAUAUUGGACAAUGGGCGAAAGCCUGAUCCAGCCAUGCCGCGUGUGUGAAGAAGGCCUUCGGGUUGUAAAGCACUUUCAGUGGGGAAGAAAGCCUUGGGGCUAAUACCCUCGAGGAAGGACAUCACCCACAGAAGAAGCACAGGCUAACUCCGUGCCAGCAGCCGCGGUAAUACGGAGGGUGCGAGCGUUAAUCGGAAUUACUGGGCGUAAAGCGCGCGUAGGCGGUCUGAUAAGCCGGUUGUGAAAGCCCCGGGCUCAACCUGGGAACGGCAUCCGGAACUGUCAGGCUAGAGUGCAGGAGAGGAAGGUAGAAUUCCCGGUGUAGCGGUGAAAUGCGUAGAGAUCGGGAGGAAUACCAGUGGCGAAGGCGGCCUUCUGGACUGACACUGACGCUGAGGUGCGAAAGCGUGGGUAGCAAACAGGAUUAGAUACCCUAGUAGUC